This 697-nucleotide ribosomal RNA is filed under the name uncultured Weeksella sp. Its description in RNAcentral is "bacterial SSU rRNA". It matches the Rfam family "Bacterial small subunit ribosomal RNA", at positions 45 to 744 of the family's 1533-position model. The record is from RNAcentral. Lineage: Bacteria; Pseudomonadati; Bacteroidota; Flavobacteriia; Flavobacteriales; Weeksellaceae.
GGUUACCAUGCAAGCCGAGGGGUAUAGUUCUUUCGGGACUAGAGACCGGCGCACGGGUGCGUAACGCGUAUGCAACUUGCCCUACUGAAAAGGAUAGCCCUUCGAAAGGAGGAUUAAUACUUUAUAACAGAUUUAAUGGCAUCAUUAGAUUUUGAAAGAUUUAUCGCAGUAGGAUAGGCAUGCGUAAGAUUAGUUAGUUGGUGAGGUAACGGCUCACCAAGACGAUGAUCUUUAGGGGGCCUGAGAGGGUGAACCCCCACACUGGUACUGAGACACGGACCAGACUCCUACGGGAGGCAGCAGUGAGGAAUAUUGGACAAUGGGUGGAAGCCUGAUCCAGCCAUCCCGCGUGUAGGAUGACGGCCUUAUGGGUUGUAAAACUACUUUUAUCUGGGGAUAAACCUACUUACGUGUAAGUAGCUGAAGGUACCAGAAGAAUAAGCACCGGCUAACUCCGUGCCAGCAGCCGCGGUAAUACGGAGGGUGCAAGCGUUAUCCGGAUUUAUUGGGUUUUAAAGGGUCCGUAGGCGGAUUAAUCAGUCAGUGGUGAAAUCUCAUAGCCUUAACUAUGAAACUGCCAUUGAUACUGGUUAGUCUUGAGUGAUGUUGAANUUGCUGGAAUGUGUAAUGUACCGGUGAAAUGCUUAAAUAUUACCCAAAACCCCAUUGCGAAGGCAGGGGACUAAACUUUACUGAC